GUGAGGAAAGCGCCCCACCUCAGCCCGCUCAGCUCCCCGGGCCUCAGCCUCAUCUUCCCGGGGAGGGAUCCAGCCUGCCGCCGCCGCCGCAGCCACUUCCUUUGCUGCCGCCGCCCACUCCGGCGGCUGUUCUCUUCCUGCUUCUUUGACGGCGGGGCCUGCGGGAAUGAGCGCAGCUGGCUCCUCCGUCGUAGCCCUGAGCCGCCCACUCCGCUCCCGGGGCUGCGAAGCCGAGGCAGCUUCCUCAACGCCGCUCCGACAUGUCUCAGUUCCGUUUCCAGCCUGCGGGGUUCUCCUGGCGAGCGUAAGUGGCCCGCCCUUAUCCGCAGCUGUAGCGCCCCCGGCUGGUUACCGGCCGCCGCCUCCUAACUGGAUUUCGCCAUUCGACGCCCCCCGCCUCCUUCUCAGGGGGCCAUAUAGAGGCAAAAGAAGCAUCUCUGUCCAGAUUUUGUCCUCAUGCAGAAAUUUUGUCAGCACGUGAUCCUUCACAAAGGCACCUGGGUCUGCUUCAAGACAAAGUACCAGCUUCUAACACAUGUUUAAUUACAAGACUACUUCUGGAAGUCCACAAAUGUAUGGGCUAGUUUCUGUAGCUUAGCUUUGCUAAGAAGGAAGGAAGGAAAAUAUGAAAUAGUAAAUAAGAAACUCAGUUUGUUAUUUGAUACACUAGUAUUUUGUGACUGGUGUUGCUCAAGUUAUUCUGAGAACCAGAAAGCCCCCCACCCCACAUGACAGCCAUUUUGAGGCAGCACCUGCAGUGCACCUCACUAUUCCCCGUGUGGCCACUCAACCCAAAGGUUUACCUGUUCUUAUUUCAGAGGUGAUUAAUUAGUUAUUAUUUCUUAAGUUUAAAUGUUUAUGAACCAGUAAAGAACUGUGAACAUAGCAGUCCCUGUUCCAUUUUUUUAAAACAAAUACCACCCUGUAAAGUUCUAACAGAAUGUAUAGAUGACUUUGGGGAAAGAGAGGAAGAGAUGCUGCCUAGGAAACAAUCAAUGGCUUAAAGAAACUUAGGAAGGACUCACCCUCAUGUUAAAAGUGGCAGCAGGAA
RNAcentral lists this long non-coding RNA (1051 nucleotides) under Notechis scutatus (mainland tiger snake). RNAcentral's name for it is "lncRNA (ENSNSUG00000012470.1)". Lineage: Eukaryota; Metazoa; Chordata; Lepidosauria; Squamata; Elapidae. The record is from RNAcentral.